RNAcentral lists this ribosomal RNA (468 nucleotides) under uncultured bacterium. Its description in RNAcentral is "partial 16S ribosomal RNA". It matches the Rfam family "Bacterial small subunit ribosomal RNA", at positions 28 to 507 of the family's 1533-position model. The record is from RNAcentral.
GACGAACGCUGGCGGCGUGCUUAACACAUGCAAGUCGAACGGAAAGGCCCUGCUUUUGUGGGGUGCUCGAGUGGCGAACGGGUGAGUAACACGUGAGUAACCUGCCCUUGACUUUGGGAUAACUUCAGGAAACUGGGGCUAAUACCGGAUAGGAGCUCCUGCUGCAUGGUGGGGGUUGGAAAGUUUCGGCGGUUGGGGAUGGACUCGCGGCUUAUCAGCUUGUUGGUGGGGUAGCGGCUUACCAAGGCUUUGACGGGUAGCCGGCCUGAGAGGGUGACCGGCCACAUUGGGACUGAGAUACGGCCCAGACUCCUACGGGAGGCAGCAGUGGGGAAUAUUGCACAAUGGGCGGAAGCCUGAUGCAGCAACGCCGCGUGCGGGAUGACGGUCUUCGGGUUGUAAACCGCUUUCGCCUGUGACGAAGCGUGAGUGACGGUAAUGGGUAAAGAAGCACCGGCUAACUACGUG